AUUGAACGCUGGCGGCAUGCCUUACACAUGCAAGUCGAACGGCAGCGGACCUUCGGGUGCCGGCGAGUGGCGAACGGGUGAGUAAUAUAUCGGAACGUACCUUUCAGUGGGGGAUAACGUAGCGAAAGUUACGCUAAUACCGCAUAUUCUGUGAGCAGGAAAGCAGGGGGAUCGCAAGACCUUGCGCUGAUUGAGCGGCCGAUAUCAGAUUAGCUAGUUGGUGAGGUAAAGGCUCACCAAGGCGACGAUCUGUAGCGGGUCUGAGAGGAUGAUCCGCCACACUGGAACUGAGACACGGUCCAGACUCCUACGGGAGGCAGCAGUGGGGAAUUUUGGACAAUGGGCGGCAAGCCUGAUCCAGCCAUGCCGCGUGAGUGAAGAAGGACCUCGGUU
This 393-nucleotide ribosomal RNA is filed under the name uncultured bacterium. Its description in RNAcentral is "bacterial SSU rRNA". It matches the Rfam family "Bacterial small subunit ribosomal RNA", at positions 30 to 423 of the family's 1533-position model. The record is from RNAcentral.